RNAcentral lists this ribosomal RNA (467 nucleotides) under uncultured bacterium. RNAcentral's name for it is "partial 16S ribosomal RNA". It matches the Rfam family "Bacterial small subunit ribosomal RNA", at positions 28 to 507 of the family's 1533-position model. The record is from RNAcentral.
GACGAACGCUGGCGGCGUGCUUAACACAUGCCAGUCGAACGGAAAGGCCUCUUUCGGGGGGUACUCGAGUGGCGAACGGGUGAGUAACACGUGAGUAACCUGCCCUUGACUUUGGGAUAACUUCAGGAAACUGGGGCUAAUACCGGAUAGGAGCUCCUGCUGCAUGGUGGGGGUUGGAAAGUUUCGGCGGUUGGGGAUGGACUCGCGGCUUAUCAGCUUGUUGGUGGGGUAGUGGCUUACCAAGGCUUUGACGGGUAGCCGGCCUGAGAGGGUGACCGGCCACAUUGGGACUGAGAUACGGCCCAGACUCCUACGGGAGGAAGCAGUGGGGAAUAUUGCACAAUGGGUGGAAGCCUGAUGCAGCAACGCCGUGUGCGGGAUGACGGCCUUCGGGUUGUAAACCGCUUUCGCUCAUGACGAAGCUUUGUGUGACGGUAGUGGGUAAAGAAGCACCGGCUAACUACGUG